Manis javanica (Malayan pangolin) is the source of this 2971-nucleotide non-coding RNA. Lineage: Eukaryota; Metazoa; Chordata; Mammalia; Pholidota; Manidae. The record is from RefSeq and is a predicted model, not a curated record.
AGAGUGUCGUCCGCCGGGACUGGUGGGGAGGUGUCCUGGGAUUUGGCGGCGGCUGGCGCCGAGCGUGGACCGAGUGUGGAGGCGAGCGGCCGCCAAUUUGGUCUUGAUGUUUGACCGUGGAGAUGUGAACUGAGCCUUCCUGAGCCUUCCUACCGAAGACCAGGUGAGGGCUCUCUCCCAGAUGGGCAACCCAGUGGAAAUAAAUGAAGACAUUCCACCCCAAUCGGUACUUUCGCUCUGGAGUCGAGGUGAUCAGAAUGGCCUCCAUUUACUCUGAGGAAGGCAACACUGAACAUGCCUUCAUCCUUUUUAACAAGCACAUCAUAUUUUUCCUUUGGUCAUUAUCUACUGCUGUGGGGAAAGUGAAGGUUCCUGUAGCCAGGAUUCUGAACAACUGCUUUCUCUGCCUUCCUCCUCAGAGUGUGGGUCCUAACACUCGUCAGCUGUAACCCACUGAUCCUGGAGCCCUGCUGGUGUCACGGCAGCGCGCCGCGAUGGCCUCCAGAGUCACUCUCCCCCAGCGCCUCCGCUGCAGCCCCGCCGGCCCUCUGCUCACACGCGCGCGCGCACACCCUCCCGCCCUCGCUACCCGGAGGCUGCGUAGGCCGCCGAGCCCCCGCCGCCCAGGCGCGCGUCCGGGAGAAGCUCGGGGAACCUCUGCGGGGCUGUGGCCAGGGCCGGGCCAGCAGGUCGGCCGGGGAGGCAGCGGGAGCGGACGGCUGGGGCCACCGGGACGAGCGAGGCGGGCGCGGGCGCGGGGGGCGCGCGAGGGAAGGCCUCCCGCCCGGCCUCGCUUGCACGCCCGCGCCUCCUUCCCCAGGAUGCGGCGGCCCGCCUCGCCCCCCGCGCAGCCUCCGCCGCCCCCUCCGCCGAGGUUCCCUGAAGGCCUGCGCCCGGCGGCGAGAGCACAGGCACCGGGGCGUCCCUGCAGCGAGUGACCGACGACGGCCCGGCGCGCCCGCCCCUCGCCGCCGCCUGGCACUGCUCCGGGGCCCCCUCGGCCCUGCCCGCGCGCAACCCCGCAUGGCGCUCCUGUAAUUGGAACAUGGCUCCCUGGAAUUGGCACGGCCCAUGGAGGAAGCUUGUGUACAGGACGUGGGGCCUGCACCUGUGUGGGAGCCUCACCCCCAGACUGCAUGUUGAUCUCGAAGAUUCCUGGCAGCGAUUCUGAGAGGGGAGCGAGGAUGUCGGCUUGGCUCCCCUUGUGCACUAGCAGGAAAACCGGAGGUCGGGGCGCCGUCUUAUCCCAGCGGAUUCGGCUCCAAACUACAUUUCCCCGGAGCCCCCGGGGGACCUGGGCUGCCUUUUCACUUGCCUGCGGCGCGCUCGGACUCCGGAGAAGAGGAAGUGCAAGGUGAGCGGCCUAGGUCCUGGGGUCUCGACUUGAUUGUUCCGGCUCGUCCCUGGGGUUCGACUGGAACUGUCCGACCGGGUCUGGAAUCUCCGCCCUGUAUCUGGAAUCAAUGUAUGAAACCAAGGUAUUAUCUCCAAAGAAGAAAGUUAAUGGAAGAGAAUCAUGCCAGAGGGAGUUAAUGGGACUUACAAAGCAUGGUCUUGAGUACUCCAACUUUAGAGAUGUGUUGGAAUCCAGAAGCCACUUUGAAAGACAACUAGGGUAUCAAAAUGGGCAUAUCAUCCAAGAAGUACUCACUCAUGAAAUACCCACAUUUAUUCAACAGACAUUCCUUACACCUCAUCAGAUAACUGUAAAUGAAGAAAAACCCUAUGAAUGCAAGAAAUGUGGAAAGGUCUUUAGUCAGAAUUCACAAUUUAUUCAACAUCAGAGAAUUCAUAUUGGUGAAAAAUCUUAUGAAUAUAAGGAGUGUGGGAAAUUUUUUAGUGGUGGCUCACGUGUUACUCAAUGUCUGGUGAAUAAGCCCUUUGAAUGUAAGGAUUGUGGAAAGGCCUUCAGUUAUAACUCACACCUUUCUCAACAUCAGAGAAUGCAUACUGAUAAGAAACCCUGUGAAUGUAAGGAAUGUGGGAAGGCCUUUAGGUACUACUCAAAUUUUAUGGACCAUCAGAGAAUUCACUCUGGUGAAAACCCCUAUAAAUGUAAAGUAUGUGGGAAAGCCUUUACUAAGAGCUCACAACAUUUCCUACAUGUGCGAGUUCAUAUAGGUGAAAAGCCAUAUGAAUGUAAGAAAUGUGGCAGAGUUUUUACUGAGAACUCAAAGCUUGUUCAGUAUCAGAGAAUUCAUACUGGUGAGAAACCCUAUGUGUGCAAGGAAUGUGGCAAAGCCUUUAGUUAUGCCUCAGCACUUACUAAUCAUUAGAGAAUUCACACUGGAGAGAAACCCUAUGAUUGUAAGGAAUGUGGGAAGGCUUUUACUCAGAGUUCACAACUUCUUCAUCAUCAGAGAAUUCAUGCUAGUGAGAAACCCUUUGAAUGUCUUCAGUGUGGGAAGGCCUUCACUCAGAACUCCCAACUUCUUCAACAUCAGAGAAUUCAUACAGAUGAAAAGCCAUAUGAAUGUAGUGAAUGUGGAAAGGCCUUUAAUAAAUGCUCAAACCUUACUUGACAUCUGCGAAUUCAUACUGGUGAAAAGCUCUAUAACUGUAAAGAAUGUGGAAAGGCAUUUAGUAGUGGUUCAAAUCUCAUUCGUCACCAGGGAAUUCAUACUGAUGAAUAGUAAAGUUUAAAGCUCUUGUCAUCUUUCUAAUAUUUUAAACAAAAAAAUUCAUGUUACCUUCUUUCACUAUUUUUUGCUUACAGAUAUAAAUUGACAUUUGCCUGUUCGGCCCACUUCCAAACCUUGUACUAAUGGCAGUUGUUGAAAUAACUAUCUUCUCUGUUAUUUUGGUCUAUCUUCUUGGUGAUAUGUUAUAUUCUUUUUUAUAUAUUUGCUUGUGUUUUGGGGCUGUCUCUUCUUUGAUCUCUAUAUUUGUGCUUACACCAACUUCACUCUGUUUAAAUUGUGUGACCUUGUAUUUUUUAAAUCUUUGUAGAAAUUAUAACUUUGUUUUUGAA